RNAcentral lists this ribosomal RNA (469 nucleotides) under uncultured bacterium. RNAcentral's name for it is "partial 16S ribosomal RNA". The stretch from base 15 to 372 matches the Rfam family "Bacterial small subunit ribosomal RNA", at positions 42 to 397 of the family's 1533-position model. The record is from RNAcentral.
GACGAACGCUGGCGGCGUGCUUAACACAUGCAAGUCGAACGGAAAGGCCCUGCUUUUGUGGGGUGCUCGAGUGGCGAACGGGUGAGUAACACGUGAGUAACCUGCCCUUGACUUUGGGAUAACUUCAGGAAACUGGGGCUAAUACCGGAUAGGAGCUCCUGCUGCAUGGUGGGGGUUGGAAAGUUUCGGCGGUUGGGGAUGGACUCGCGGCUUAUCAGCUUGUUGGUGGGGUAGUGGCUUACCAAGGCUUUGACGGGUAGCCGGCCUGAGAGGGUGACCGGGCAAAUUGGGGAAGGAGAGCGGCCCCGGACCCCGCGGGGGGGAAGAAGGGGGGAAUAUGGAAAAAGGGGCGGAGGCGGAAGGCAGCAACGCGGGGGGGGGGAGGGGGGCUUGGGGUUGGUAAACCGCUUGCGCGUGGGAGGAAGGGGGAGGGAGGGGAGGGGAAAAAGAAGCCCGGGCUAAUUCGGGC